GAUGAACGCUGGCGGCGUGCUUAACACAUGCAAGUCGAACGGAAAGUCCCAAGCUUGCUUGGGUCCUCGAGUGGCGAACGGGUGAGUAACACGUGGGUUAUCUGCCCUGCACUUCGGGAUAAGCCUGGGAAACUGGGUCUAAUACCGGAUAGGACCACAUUUUGGAUGGUGUGGUGGAAAGUUUUUCGGUGUGGGAUGAGCUCGCGGCCUAUCAGCUUGUUGGUGGGGUAAUGGCCUACCAAGGCGUCGACGGGUAGCCGGCCGGAGAGGGUGUACGGCCACAUUGGGAAUGAGAUACGGCCCAGACUCCUACGGGAGGCAGGAGUGGGGAAUAUUGCACAAUGGGCGCAAGCCUGAUGCAGCGAGGACGCGUGGGGGAUGAAGGCCUUCGGGUUGUAAACUCCUUUCGCUAGGGACGAAGCGUUUUUGUGACGGUACCUGGAGAAGAAGCACCGGCUAACUACGUG
Molecule: ribosomal RNA, 467 nt
Filed under: uncultured bacterium
Lineage: Bacteria
Description: partial 16S ribosomal RNA
Rfam family: Bacterial small subunit ribosomal RNA
Source: RNAcentral